Molecule: ribosomal RNA, 468 nt
Filed under: uncultured bacterium
Lineage: Bacteria
Description: partial 16S ribosomal RNA
Rfam family: Bacterial small subunit ribosomal RNA
Source: RNAcentral
GACGAACGCUGGCGGCGUGCUUAACACAUGCAAGUCGAACGGAAAGGCCCUGCUUUUGUGGGGUGCUCGAGUGGCGAACGGGUGAGUAACACGUGAGUAACCUGCCCUUGGCUUUGGGAUAACUUCAGGAAACUGGGGCUAAUACCGGAUAGGAGCUCCUGCUGCAUGGUGGGGGUUGGAAAGUUUCGGCGGUUGGGGGUGGACUCGCGGCUUAUCAGCUUGUUGGUGGGGUAGUGGCUUACCAAGGCUUUGACGGGUAGCCGGCCUGAGAGGGUGACCGGCCACAUUGGGACUGAGAUACGGCCCAGACUCCUACGGGAGGCAGCAGUGGGGAAUAUUGCACAAUGGGCGGAAGCCUGAUGCAGCAACGCCGCGUGCGGGAUGACGGCCUUCGGGUUGUAAACCGCUUUCGCCUGUGACGAAGCGUGAGUGACGGUAAUGGGUAAAGAAGCACCGGCUAACUACGUG